Molecule: long non-coding RNA, 2858 nt
Organism: Gallus gallus (chicken)
Lineage: Eukaryota; Metazoa; Chordata; Aves; Galliformes; Phasianidae
Source: Ensembl
AUCUGGACAUCUCUGUGCACCUAUAGUGUUCUGAAGGUGAACAGUGCUGCCUGUUCAGGUGCCUCAGACCCCCAACAUCUCAUUGAGAACCAAAGCAGGCAGCCUGGCUUUGUUGUUCUGGAAGAGCUGCAGCAGCGUCUCCAUGAGAACCCUGCUCCUCCUGGGGGCACAACUGUGGGAGUGAGCCCUGUGCAAGACCGAGGUUGGUUUGUGCAGUCUCAAAAUGAAGCAAGAUGCCUCCUCCAAAAACACUGAGCAAUGAAAAACAUGAUCUAUUGGGUGAAUUGUGAUGGCACAAAGCCCUGUGCUGUGCAGGUGCCACUUGGCAAACUGGUGUCUAUGAAAGGUCCUGUGUGACCAGGUGAAUUCUUCACCUGUAACCUUAUCACACAGACGAAGUGGGAGUGUGAAGGAGGGGGAUCCCUCUGCCAUGGGCUGGGGAAUGGAAGGUGGUGCCUCACUGAAGUCACACAACGAAUGUGUGGGUGCCAGAUGUGCCAGAGACAGGAGCUGAACGCAGACCUGAGUGCCAGCCCAGCACACAGCAUUCAUCGUUGUCCAUUCUCUCAAAAAGAAAAAUCAAAGGCAGCUUUCUGGUUGAUUCAGCUGCCAUAAAAUGAUGUUUCAGAGAACCCUACAGGCUUCCUAGUGGGAAAGACCCCCCUUAUGAAUAACUGAGUGUGCUCUUCUGCAAGGUAAUAAUAAUCGGAGUGACUUUUCAGAAGAGGAUGUUGAAGCACGUGUCUGAAUUGGCUUCCAGUAACACACAAAAGUCUGUGUUAAAAGAAAUUACUGACUGUGCUCUGUACUGUGAUGAUAUUCAGGUAUCAUCCCUUAAAAUUUUCUUCAUUACUUUUCUCCCAUUCUUUGAUGCAAUUUUUAAUUUGAUCUCUAGUGGAUACAACUGACUUGAUUUAUUGAUUUACAAUCAAAGCAAGCAACGAAGGAAUUCACUUUAGCAAGGAAAUCAGUACCUUAAAAAUAUGAGUAAAAACCUGUAAUUCUGAAGACCACAAUUUUUGGAGAAUAAAUGACAAUGGGAGUUAAUGUAGGUCUUUGGAUUAAACCAAAAGCCAGCUCUGUUGAACCAAGCACAGCAUUCCUAAUCUGACAUGUUGACAGGGACACCCCUGCCUAUUCCAAAAGAGAGUUCGGAUGAAGCCAGAUUUAUCGUGUGUUCCCAACAGGGGCUGGGCUGACUCUAAAGGAAGCUAUGCAGGCCAAAAAUAAACAAGAUACACAUGAAGUAGUUUGUGCCAUCAGGAAAUCUUCCAGGGGAUAUGUGGAGAGGAGAAGUAAAGCCAGCAGAAAAGCAGCUUAAGAUGUCUUUCCCCUUUCCUCAUUAUGCCCUAUCUCUGUAUCUUCACAGAGCGUAAAUCAAGGUUUCCUCCCCAGGAGAUCUCUUGCCCUCAUAUGCACUUUCUUUGCCCCUGCUUCCCCAGGAAAGCAACUCUGUGUGCUGCUCCUUCCUGACACAGCAACCCCCUUUGUGGCACUUGCAGGGAAGUGCCUCUGGAGAUGCUCGGUGCCGAAGUGCUGCUCCUGCAGCUGCUAGCAUUCAUACUUGGUUAUGGACUUCUGCAAGAGCAGGCUGGGGCUGGACAGCCAUGCUUUUCCCAGGAGCAUAUGUGAAUGAUUUGAAUUAUGUAAUUAUGAAAAAAAAUGUAGCCUUUUCCAGCCGCAUUUACUGCAAGCAGACACACAGUCACAGUAAUUUCAAAUAUCGGGACAAGAAACUUUUGCAUUUACAUUCUGGCAACUGGAGCCAACAUCUUAAUCUGCUAAGAGACCCCAGGAGAGCUGUGCUGGUGGCACACAUUGUUCACUGCUCCGUGUCUGACCAAAGUCUGACUUGAACUUUGUAAUUUGCUGGAGUGGAGUCACUAAAUUACACACUGCCAUGAGAUAUACAAUCCCACAUGAGGCACAGAGCAGCUCCUUAAUACGACAGCCUUCAAGCAGGCAUGAGCUCAAAUACCACUGCAGAGAACAAAGCUUCCCAGUGUUAGAUACAGCAUUAGAAGUUCUACCUCGUGAAACAUUAUGGACUAUAUUGUCAGAGGAAAUCCAAGUUUGUGCCCAUAAUAAUAGCGUGCCUGGAACUCCCUGCCAAAGAAAAAGUCUGUGCAGCGAUGUAUAGACAAGCAACAGUGCACACAAAAAGGAAAGCUGUAGAGUGUCUGCUUUACAAAUGCAGCCCUGGGGUUUCAGAAGUGCAAGACAUACAUAUGCAGAAUGGAGACAGUUAUAGGCUCCUUGGCAGUGCAGACUGGAGUAUAAAAUAUGGGUCUCGGAAGGUUGCUUUAUAGCCUGAACUGAAGAUUUCGCAGCAGCCUUAGCAUUCUGUUUGCUGUAUCUUGGAAAUCAGAAAUGUGCAGUUCCAGAGAUGUGUGUUGCCUUCCAACUUGCUAACAUUUAAAUUUUCUGUGAGUCUCUCAUCACCCAAAUGACAGCAGCCCAGCUCGUCCAGCGCUGUGUUAUCGGUAGUGAUAGCAGGACUGCAGUGCUGUGAGUUGUGAGGCUGCAGAUUAGUGGUGUCACUUGCAGCAGUGACAGCUUGUGCCAAAGCAAGGCAUAGAGCACUUCCAUCUUAUAGAAAACUAUUGGCACAUAAAAUUGGCAAGAGAUAAUCAAUAAUUGUACAUGCACAUUAACAGCAGUCACACUGCUUUAAUAGCACUUGUAUGUACUCAGCCAAAGAAGAGGUUUUCAUUAGAUAGAUGUAGAUAGAUAUAAAUAGAUGUAUCUGUAUCUCUCUGGGAAUAGACACAUAGGUGUAUGUGUGUAGAAAAUGCACAAAAUCACAGCUACUUGGUCUUGUCCUUUUGUCAUAAUGUCUGACAGACAUUUGUCCCAGU